RNAcentral lists this long non-coding RNA (4003 nucleotides) under Phoenix dactylifera (date palm). RNAcentral's name for it is "long non-coding RNA (PDAC_LNC004429)". The record is from RNAcentral. Lineage: Eukaryota; Viridiplantae; Streptophyta; Magnoliopsida; Arecales; Arecaceae.
GUGGUCAGAGCUAGAUGGGCUUCAGCCAGAGACAAAGAUAAUUGAUGAACAUCUGGGAGAAAUCAUCUUAAAGGGUUUUCUCACCAUCAAUAGCCAACCUGCAAUUAAUGGAGAGAAAUCUGAUUCUCCCACUGUUGGUAAGUGAGAUUUAUUCUAAACGUCUUCAAGGUCAAGUAUUUGUUAGUUCUUAUAUGACCUCUGAGCCGGUCCCUGACUUGGAAAGCAUGACUUCCUUUUUGAAAAUGAAAUCAUGUUUCUGCAUAUAAAAUUCAAUUUAUUUUNNNNNNNNNNNNNNNNNNNNNNNNNNNNNNNNNNNNNNAGAGAAUAGAUAACGAUUAACGACUGUAGGCCAAACACCAUUUUUUCUGUUAUUUUUUCAAUAUAAAUUUGUCAGAGGACUUGAAUUGCUUGCAGGAAAAUGCAUUAUUGCUUUCUAUGAAAUGAUAUCACUUAUGGUACUUCAACUUAAAUUGUUCAAGGCAAUUUUGCAUAUUGUUCAAAGCAAUGAUGCAUGCUCAAAUUGCAUAUGGAUGGCUCUUACUACAAUUUGAGUUCUUAAUAUAAACAUGUAAAUGUUUGCACUUUGUUCUAACUUUCCUUUAACAUAUAAUUAUAAAUAUGAAUAAGUCACGGCCAUAAGUUAUUUUAGGGCAUAAGCCACCUUCUCCUUGCACUUAUUAGUUAUCAUAGAUGAACUAAACCUGCUAUUCGUGAUUAGGAAUGGUUUCAUACUUAAUUCCUCUUAGAUGUGCAUUGUGAAAAUAGGACCUAGAGAGGGAUGAUUUUAGAAUUUAGGGCCUAAAGAGGAAUGAUAUUUGGAGGAAAUGAUUAUGUUGUUCAAAAUUCAGUGUGCGACAGAAAACAGAGCAGAAGAGAGAAUGGGAUCUUGUUCAAGAAUGAGGAUCGAUGGCAAUUUUAGUGAUCCUUGCUUCUAAGAUGUUGACUGGUUAUUUUUUUCACCUUGGAUUUGGUAUCAUAAAGAAUGAAAAUAUAAGCGAAAAAUAUGGUACAUAUGCAGAUCAGCACUGAUGGCAGAGGAGAUGUGCCCAUGUGCUUUUGAGGAUAACCACAAGAUAAUGGCAACCAAGGAGACUAAUUCACCAGACAUUGGACUGAAACUUGUCAUAUGUACAAGAAGGUGGGCAAUGAAUAGAUUGCAUGACAUUAUUAUUAACAUAACACAAAUUAGAAUAUAAAGGCUAAUAUGUGGUAAAAUUUUAGUUUUUAGAAGUUUUCACUUGGAAGAACCAGAGAGCAAAGUUAUCAUUACUAAGUAGCUCGGACUUUCACAUAUUCCUGUUUAAUGCUUGUAUUUUUGUCGUAUUCAUGCAUUAUCGCUUUCUUGUGAGAUUAGAAGAGGCCCCACUUGAGGAAGGGGAUUGGAUUUGUUAAGUGUUGGGAAUGAGGGAAACUGUAUAUAGCUAAACUUAUAGAGCUUAUGAGCAUGGAGGUAGCUAGGCAAAUUUAUAUAACUAACAGCAAUAAUUUGGAGACUCCUAUUAGUUACAACAGAAAGGGUUUCUGCAAAUCUUUAAACCUUGAGCUACUGUCAAGGUUUCAGAAUGAAGCACUAGAAGUAUCACUCUGAAUUUUGGGUUGUGCAUUAAUUAUUUUUUCAUUUUAUCCAACCUGCUUUAAUAAAGGAUUCAUGGAGGAAACUAUGAUCCUAAACAUAUCAAAAUGGAGGAAAAUGAUUCAUGUAGUUGACCCAACUAGUUUGGGAUUAAGACUUAGUUGAGUAUAUAUAAAUUAUUUUCUAGUAACAUAUAUGACUGUUCAUUCUUAAGCCUUUCCUUCUUUCCUUCUUUUUUUUUCAUCGUGGUGGUGGGGGGUUGUUGGGUAAGAAGGUGAAUUUUAGAUCUGGUGUUGGAUUUUUGUUUCAAUGCAAAGUCCUUGCUUUCUGAGUAACAUUUUUUCCCAUACAUGUUACUAUUCCGUGGCACAUUCUAAUAAUGCUUUUGUUUAUUGUGUUUGUCAGGGUGGGGUGGACCAGGGGGAUACGUCUAUCAGAAGGCUUAUCUUGAAUUCUUCUGUUCAAAAGAUAAGAUAAAUUUACUGAUUGAAAAGUGCAAGGGAUUUCCAUCUCUCACAUAUAUUGCUGUGAACAGAGAAGGGGAAUGUCUCUCCAAUGUUGCCCCAAAUGCAGUCAAUGCAGUGACAUGGGGCGUUUUCCCUGCCAAAGAGAUCGUCCAACCAACUGUUGUUGAUCCUGCAAGCUUUAUGGUUUGGAAGGAUGAGGCAUUUGAGAUCUGGACGAAGGGAUGGGCAUGCUUGUUUCCUCACGGUGACCCAUCUAGGGAAUUAUUAGAGCAGGUACGUUGGACACACAAUCAUGUUUGUAUACGAGAUAUUAGAUUGAAGGUUGUGUAGAUUUUUUCCUAAACACCUUCCAUUUUUUUACUUUCAAGUGGCAGUUUUAGACGUUCAGCAGGCCUCUCUCUCUCUCUCUCUCUCUCUCUCUCUUUUCGGCCUUCUAAAUUUCGGCUUUAUAAAGCCAUCAUCGGUAGGUAUUCGCCUGCGCGCCCCCUCGCUUCUCGGACGACGCCCAAACGCCGUUAACGGCAGCAGAGAGAGAGAGAGAGAGCUCAGAAGAGAAGAAGAGAUGAAGGUGAUAGAGAAGAUCCGGGCGGCGGGGGAGGGGAGGGGCGGACGGUGUUCUCCUUCGAGUACUUCCCCCGAAGACGGAGGAAGGGGUGGAGAACCUCUUCGAUCGCAUGGACCGCAUGGUCGCCCACAACCCCUCGUUCUGCGACAUAACCUGGGGUGCCGGCGGCUCCACCGCCGAUCUCACCCUCGAUAUCGCCAACCGCAUGCAGAACAUGAUCUGUGUGGAAACAAUGAUGCACUUAACUUGCACUAACAUGCCGGUGGAGAAGAUCGACCAUGCCCUAGACACCAUCAAGACCAAUGGGAUUCAGAAUGUUUUGGCUCUAAGAGGGGAUCCUCCUCAUGGUCAGGAUAAGUUUGUUCAGGUUGCUGGUGGAUUUGCCUGCGCCCUUGAUCUGGUGCAGCACAUUCGAUCUAAGUAUGGUGAAUAUUUUGGCAUAACUGUUGCUGGCUAUCCAGAGGCACACCCCGACAUGAUACAAUGUGAAGGAGGUGCUACAUUAGAAGCCUACAGCAAUGAUCUUGCUUAUUUGAAGAGAAAGGUGGAUGCUGGUGCAGAUAUUAUUAUCACCCAGUUGUUUUAUGAUACUGACAUAUUUCUGAAGUUUGUGAAUGAUUGCCGUCAAAUUGGGAUAACCUGUCCCAUCGUUCCUGGUAUAAUGCCAAUAAACAACUAUAAGGGCUUCUUGCGUAUGACUGGUUUUUGUAAACUAGGAUACCACCUGAGAUUACAGCUGCCCUAGAGCCUAAAAAUGAAGAGGCUGUCAAGGCAUAUCCACCUUGGAACCGAGAUGUGCAAAAGGCUCACGGGAUAAGAUUUCAAGGUCCUUACCAUGGAGGCGACCAACAAAUGUUUUUCGUGCUAAAGAAGAUGUUCGACCUAUCUUUUGGGCUAAUCGUCCAAAAAGCUACAUUGCAAGGACUCUUGGUUGGGACCAGUACCCACAUGGGAGGUGGGGAGAUUCUCAUAACCCAUCAUAUGGAGCCCUUACAGACUACCAGUUCAUGCGCCCACGUGCACGGGACAAGAAGCUUCAAGAGGAAUGGGCAAUCCCAUUGAAAUCUCUGAAUGACAUCAAAGAGAGGUUCAUGAACUUCUGCCUGGGAAAACUUAGAAGUAGCCCGUGGUCGGAGCUAGAUGGGCUUCAGCCAGAGACAAAGAUAAUUGAUGAACAUCUGGGAGAAAUCAUCUUAAAGGGUUUUCUCACCAUCAAUAGCCAACCUGCAAUUAAUGGAGAGAAAUCUGAUUCUCCCACUGUUGGGUGGACCNNNNNNNNNNNNNNNNNNNNUCUCUCUCUCUCUCUCUCUCUCUCUCCACACACACACACUUUCAUUUAUUAGUUAUUCUUUUGGAAGUUCAUUAGGUGCUGAACAAGUUGAUCAUUUCAUGUUUUCA